AGCAGCGUGGCUCAGUGGAAAGAGCCUGGGCCUUCGGAGUCAGAGGUCAUGAGUUCGACUCCCAGCUCUGCCA
RNAcentral lists this transfer RNA (73 nucleotides) under Ornithorhynchus anatinus (platypus). It matches the Rfam family "tRNA". Rfam says of the family: Transfer RNA (tRNA) molecules are approximately 80 nucleotides in length. Their secondary structure includes four short double-helical elements and three loops (D, anti-codon, and T loops). Further hydrogen bonds mediate the characteristic L-shaped molecular structure. tRNAs have two regions of fundamental functional importance: the anti-codon, which is responsible for specific mRNA codon recognition, and the 3' end, to which the tRNAs corresponding amino acid is attached (by aminoacyl-tRNA synthetases). tRNAs cope with the degeneracy of the genetic code in two manners: having more than one tRNA (with a specific anti-codon) for a particular amino acid; and 'wobble' base-pairing, i.e. permitting non-standard base-pairing at the 3rd anti-codon position. The record is from Rfam by way of RNAcentral. Lineage: Eukaryota; Metazoa; Chordata; Mammalia; Monotremata; Ornithorhynchidae.